AGCGAACGCUGGCGGCAGGCUUAACACAUGCAAGCCGAGCGCCCCGCAAGGGGAGCGGCAGACGGGAGAGUAACACGUGGGAACGUACCCUUCAGUCCGGAACAACCCAGGGAAACUUGGGCUAAUACCGGAUACGUCCGUAAGGAGAAAGAUUUAUCGCUGAAGGAUCGGCCAGCGUCUGAUUAGCUAGUUGGUGAGGUAACGGCUCACCAAGGCGACGAUCAGUAGCUGGUCUGAGAGGAUGAUCAGCCUCACUGGGACUGAGACACGGCCCAGACUCCUACGGGAGGCAGCAGUGGGGAAUAUUGGACAAUGGGCGCAAGCCUGAUCCAGCCAUGCCGCGUGGAUGAUGAAGGCCCUAGGGUUGUAAAGUCCUUUCGGCGGGGAAGAUAAUGACGGUACCCGCAGAAGAAGCCCCGGCUAACUUCGUGCCAGCAGCCGCAGUAA
RNAcentral lists this ribosomal RNA (447 nucleotides) under uncultured bacterium. RNAcentral describes it as "partial 16S ribosomal RNA". It matches the Rfam family "Bacterial small subunit ribosomal RNA", at positions 29 to 523 of the family's 1533-position model. The record is from RNAcentral.